This 484-nucleotide ribosomal RNA is filed under the name uncultured bacterium. Its description in RNAcentral is "partial 16S ribosomal RNA". It matches the Rfam family "Bacterial small subunit ribosomal RNA", at positions 29 to 523 of the family's 1533-position model. The record is from RNAcentral.
AAUGAACGCUGGCGGCGUGCUUAACACAUGCAAGUCGAACGGUGAAGCAGGAGCUUGCUCUUGUGGAUCAGUGGCGAACGGGUGAGUAACACGUGAGCAACCUGCCCCUGACUCUGGGAUAAGCGCUGGAACCGGCGGCUAAUACUGGAUAUGUGAUGUGACCGCAUGGUCUGCAUCUGGAAAGAAUUUCGGUUGGGGAUGGGCUCGCGGCCUAUCAGCUUGCUGGUGGGGUAAUGGCUCACCAAGGCGGCGACGGGUAGCCGGCCUGAGAGGGUGACCGGCCACACUGGGACUGAGACACGGCCCAGACUCCUACGGGAGGCAGCAGUGGGGAAUAGUGCACAAUGGGCGGAAGCCUGAUGCAGCAACGCCGCGUGAGGGAUGACGGCCUUCGGGUUGUAAACUUCUUUUAGCAGGGAAGAAGCGAAAGUGACGGUACCUGCAGAAAAAGCACCGGCUAACUACGUGCCAGCCGCCGCCGUAA